This 1215-nucleotide ribosomal RNA is filed under the name uncultured bacterium. RNAcentral describes it as "bacterial SSU rRNA". It matches the Rfam family "Bacterial small subunit ribosomal RNA", at positions 149 to 1377 of the family's 1533-position model. The record is from RNAcentral.
GGCGGGAAACGAGGGCUAAUACCGGAUAACCUCUUUGAAUCGCAUGGUUUGAAGAGAAAAGGUGGCCUCUUUACAAUGCUACCACUUACAGAUGAAUCCGCGUCCCAUUAGCCAGUUGGUGGGGUAAAGGCCUACCAAAGCGACGAUGGGUAGCCGGCCUGAGAGGGUGACCGGCCACACUGGAACUGAGAUACGGUCCAGACUCCUACGGGAGGCAGCAGUGGGGAAUCUUCCGCAAUGGGCGAAAGCCUGACGGAGCAACGCCGCGUGAGCGAAGAAGGUCUUCGGAUUGUAAAGCUCUGUGAUAUUGGGGAAGAAAGGACAGUACUCUUAGAAUAAGCUUCGGCUAACUACGUGCCAGCAGCCGCGGUAAAACGUAGGAAGCGAGCGUUAUCCGGAUUUACUGGGCGUAAAGCGUGUGUAGGCGGUUUGAUAAGUUGGAUGUGAAAGCUCCUGGCUUAACUGGGAGAGGUCGUUCAAAACUAUCAGACUCGAGAGUGGUAGAGGGAGGUGGAAUUCCGGGUGUAGUGGUGAAAUGCGUAGAUAUCCGGAGGAACACCAGUGGCGAAAGCGGCCUCCUGGCCCAUUUCUGACGCUCAGACACGAAAGCUAAGGUAGCAAACGGGAUUAGAGACCCCGGUAGUCUUAGCUGUAAACGAUGUGAACUUAGUGUCGGUGGGUUUAAAUCCAUCGGUACUGAAGCUAACGCGAUAAGUUCACCGCCUGGGGACUACGGCCGCAAGGUUAAAACUCAAAGGAAUUGACGGGGCCCCGCACAAGCAGCGGAGCGUGUGGUUUAAUUCGAUGUUACACGAAGAACCUUACCAGGGUUUGACAUGCAAGUGGUAGGAAACCGAAAGGUGACCGACUCCUCGGAGAGCUUGCACAGGUGCUGCAUGGCUGUCGUCAGCUCGUGUCGUGAGAUGUUCGGUUAAGUCCGCUAACGAGCGCAACCCUCGCUGUGUGUUACAAGUGUCACACGGUACUGCCGGUCUCAAGCCGGAGGAAGGUGGGGAUGACGUCAAGUCAGCAUGGCCUUUAUGUCCUGGGCUACACACACGCUACAAUGGCCAACACAAUAGGUUGAUAAGCCGCGAGGUGGAGCCAACCCCCCAAAGUUGGCCUCAGUUCAGAUUGUAGGCUGCAACUCGCCUGCAUGAAGAUGGAGUUGCUAGUAAACGCAGGUCAGCUAUACUGCGUUGAAUACGUUCCCGG